Molecule: ribosomal RNA, 292 nt
Filed under: uncultured bacterium
Lineage: Bacteria
Description: partial 16S ribosomal RNA
Rfam family: Bacterial small subunit ribosomal RNA
Source: RNAcentral
UUUUCAGCAGCCGCGGUAAUACGAAGGGGGCUAGCGUUGCUCGGAAUCACUGGGCGUAAAGCGCACGUAGGCGGAUCUUUAAGUCAGGGGUGAAAUCCUGGAGCUCAACUCCAGAACUGCCUUUGAUACUGGGGAUCUCGAGUCCGGAAGAGGUGAGUGGAACUCCGAGUGUAGAGGUGAAAUUCGUAGAUAUUCGGAAGAACACCAGUGGCGAAGGCGGCUCACUGGUCCGGUACUGACGCUGAGGUGCGAAAGCGUGGGGAGCAAACAGGAUUAGAAACCCUUGUAGUCC